RNAcentral lists this ribosomal RNA (254 nucleotides) under uncultured bacterium. RNAcentral's name for it is "partial 16S ribosomal RNA". It matches the Rfam family "Bacterial small subunit ribosomal RNA", at positions 524 to 776 of the family's 1533-position model. The record is from RNAcentral.
UACAGAGGGUGCGAGCGUUGUCCGGAAUCACUGGGCGUAAAGGGCGCGUAGGUGGUGGCUUAAGCGUGCGGCGAAAGCUCGGGGCUCAACUCCGAGUCGGCCGUGCGAACUGGGCUCACUGGAGCAUAGUAGAGGCAGGUGGAAUUCCGGGUGUAGCGGUGGAAUGCGUAGAGAUCCGGAAGAACACCGGUGGCGAAGGCGGCCUGCUGGGCUAUGGCUGACACUGAGGCGCGACAGCGUGGGGAGCAAACAGG